GUGGAGGUGACGACAACUUAAAACUUGAUUGUCUGUGAUCUUCAAGUAUUCAUACUGUCUGAUCCAC
Molecule: small nucleolar RNA, 67 nt
Organism: Colossoma macropomum (tambaqui)
Lineage: Eukaryota; Metazoa; Chordata; Actinopteri; Characiformes; Serrasalmidae
Source: RefSeq, a predicted model, not a curated record